This 386-nucleotide ribosomal RNA is filed under the name uncultured bacterium. RNAcentral's name for it is "bacterial SSU rRNA". It matches the Rfam family "Bacterial small subunit ribosomal RNA", at positions 28 to 414 of the family's 1533-position model. The record is from RNAcentral.
GACGAACGCUGGCGGCGUGCUUAACACAUGCAAGUCGAACGGUGACGAGGAGCUUGCUCCUCUGAUCAGUGGCGAACGGGUGAGUAACACGUGAGUAACCUGCCCCAGACUCUGGGAUAACAGUUGGAAACAGCUGCUAAUACCGGAUACGAGACGGAGAGGCAUCUCUACCGUCUGGAAAGUUUUUCGGUCUGGGAUGGACUCGCGGCCUAUCAGCUUGUUGGUGAGGUAAUGGCUCACCAAGGCGACGACGGGUAGCCGGCCUGAGAGGGCGACCGGCCACACUGGGACUGAGACACGGCCCAGACUCCUACGGGAGGCAGCAGUGGGGAAUAUUGCACAAUGGGCGAAAGCCUGAUGCAGCGACGCCGCGUGAGGGAUGACGG